This is a long non-coding RNA of Papaver somniferum (opium poppy), 1578 nucleotides long. RefSeq lists it as uncharacterized. The transcript has 6 exons. The record is from RefSeq and is a predicted model, not a curated record. Lineage: Eukaryota; Viridiplantae; Streptophyta; Magnoliopsida; Ranunculales; Papaveraceae.
CCCUUUCUAUUCCAUGUGUUCUCUCAUUUUUUUCUUCGUCGUUGGGUAAAACUCUUAAUAGAGAAUUUCGAGCGAAUCAGAUUUGAAUCCAGGUGUUGUUCCUGAUACUAAUGUCUAAAAGUCAUAUGCUAUUUGUUGUUUCAACGAUGCUGAGCUAGAAAGAAGAUAAAGAAGACUUUGUGCUCACAACUUACAAGUUUUCUCUAGCCUUGAGAUAAGAAUUGAUGCGGAACAUCUGAUAUAUGGUGCGACCUCUGAAAUUUUGAAGGGAACUGUUGAAUUUAUUGCUUCUACAGAAUAUAUGGUGCGACCUCUGAUACCGCCAACAUGGUUUUCCUCAUUGAUGUAUCAAUUUCUGUGGUUAAAAGUUGGGAUGAUUUGGAGUGCUAUUAGCCAAAAGUGCACUUGACUAGCUACCAUUUUCUGUUACUGUAACUUUCCAGAUUCAUGGUCUGCAAUGCAUCAUCACCUAUUUGAUUAUGAAUUCAACGGGGGAGGAUGCGUAUCUCCAGCUAGAUUUAGUAAGUAUAUGUUUAGUCUUCGCUACCCAUAACCAUUUGGCACAUGUAUUUAUGAUAUGAAGUUGGAAAAACUCCUAAUAUAAUUAAAUUUUGUUCUAUUUUGCAGAAUCAUUAGUUUAUUUUUAUAAGUUUCAUUUUCUGGAUGAACUUAAAAUAAUUUAUUAGAUUCUCGGGGAGAAUUUCUCCCAUAUGUUGGAUGCAAAAAUAUAUAAGGUUCCUGCAGUUACAAUAUCAACUUAUCGAAAAUGCGAACAAUAUUCAUAGGGGAUUCAAACAUAUAUUAUGCGUAAUGGAGGUAGUAUGUCUGUUUGAAGACGUGAGAGUAAUUAAAGCGUAUCUGCUAAUUAACUUAGUUCAUUUGAAUCCUGCGAACUUCAUUAGGUUCCCCUUUAGAUAUGGAGUAUUAGUUAAGUCCUCAGAUACUGUAUGUAGACAAUUCGAUAUUUACCAAGCUUAGCCUUAGUUCGUGUAGUUUUGUUUUUUCCAUAAAGACAAUUGAUGGUUUUAAGGGCAAGUUAAAUUAUAUUUGGAUGAUCAAUUUAGGCUGGGCGCACAACUAGUUAAGAUUAAAUCAAUUAAAUCUUUGGCGUUUUGUAUUUCUUCAAGGAAAAAUACAGUAGUAAAGCUACAAAUGCAGUUGGGAGCUUGUAAUAGUUGUGCUAGUUCAGCUGUUACUCUAAGGUAUCAAGACGACCUGAUUCAGGACUUACAGUUUUCAAUUGAUGCAAUUCAGCGGUAGUUUACAGAAAAUAUACAAAAUUUCCUCAACCUCUUUCAGCGGCUAAUUUCUCUAUUUUAACCUUUGUGGGUCUGUGCAGAUUACCUCACCGAAUGGUUCAUUCUCUUCCUCAUCAGACGUGUUGUGAGUGUGGACAAAACCUCCUAGUAUGCCAUAUCUAUCGCAUAGCCGCCAAGUAUGCUUUAAAUUCUAAAAAUAGACAGUUGAUAUAGGUUUUUUUUGCUUUUGCUUCUUAUGGUCUAAAUUGCAAAUAGCUGAGGGUUUAGGAAGUUGUGGGAUGUUCAUACUCUGUUGAAAUUUGAAAAUUUCUCAUUUGGA